RNAcentral lists this ribosomal RNA (245 nucleotides) under uncultured bacterium. RNAcentral describes it as "partial 16S ribosomal RNA". It matches the Rfam family "Bacterial small subunit ribosomal RNA", at positions 524 to 768 of the family's 1533-position model. The record is from RNAcentral.
UACGUAGGUGGCAAGCGUUGUCCGGAUUUACUGGGCGUAAAGGAUGCGUAGGCGGAUAAUUAAGUCAGAUGUGAAAUUCCCGGGCUUAACCUGGGGACUGCAUUUGAAACUGGUAAUCUAGAGUGCGGGAGAGGUAAGUGGAAUUCCUAGUGUAGCGGUGAAAUGCGUAGAGAUUAGGAAGAACACCAGUGGCGAAGGCGACUUACUGGACCGUAACUGACGCUGAGGCAUGAAAGCGUGGGGAG